Molecule: transfer RNA, 24 nt
Filed under: Hildaea ruprechtii
Lineage: Eukaryota; Viridiplantae; Streptophyta; Magnoliopsida; Poales; Poaceae
Also listed under: 1 other name
Description: partial tRNA-Gly
Source: RNAcentral
GCGAGCGUAGUUCAGUGGUAAAAC